AUAGCUGUUGUCCUCUACUGCCUUCACAUGGUGUUGCUUCUGUGUGUACCUGUGUCCUUCUUACAAGGACACAAGUCAUACUGGAUUAUGGUCCACCCACACGAUCUCAUUUUUACCUUAAUUACUACUUUAAAGACCCUGUCUCCAAAUAGAGUCACAUUCUGAGAAGAGGGAAAGUAGGAAGCAGGCACAGGAGAACACUAUGUGACUAUGGAGGCAGAAAUUGGAGUGAUUCAUCUGCAAGCCAAGGAAUGCCAAAGACUGCAACCGCCAGAACCUAGCAAGAGGGAAAGCAGAAGCUGAAGCAGAGAAAAAUGAGCAUUAAAAUCAGACUGAGACUUGAGGCAUCGAAGUUCACAAGACACAAGAAGGGACAAUGGUAUGGGACUUAUCUCAUUUGGGGAGAGAUGGAAAUUCUUCAGGAGAGGAUUUGAGAUUCUGGAGCAGGGAGAGGUCCUAAAUUGAGCCCGAGGGUUGAUGAUGAGGAAGCAUCCGGUGAUUGCGAGUUAGGAAGCAAGCUACUGUCUAAGUGGGGUGCCUCCCCAAAAGCACUUCUUCACCCCUUCUCCCUUGAUACUAUAAGUACACUUUGUGUCAGAUAGAGUGGGUCUAUUUAGCAAAUUCUGUAUGCGUUUUGGAAGACAUUCUCACCAAACAACUGCUCAAACUAUCCAACCAUUCAGAGAUUUCAUACAGGUCUGGUCUGGAAGAGACAAGCAUGGUAGAACUUAAGGAGGACACAAGGCUGAAUGGACACAGGCACUCUGUCUAUAGAACACUGGGUGGAGUGGAGUACAGACUGGUAGAGAACUUCCAAGUGUAAGGCAAUCCAGCUGCUCCCCAAGAUUCUUCCCAUAAGGUAAUGGGGGAUUUGGUCUCUCCCUAAUGGACAGGAAGAAAGAGCUCUGGCUGCCAGUAGUACAUACAGAAAUUUAUGUGAUUUACUAUAAAUGGUACCCCUUCCUCAAAGCACGUGACUUCCACCUGGUCAGAUAAAUGUCAUAAUAAAUAUACACAGAUAUGAAAUCCAGGUGAAUGUUGAUGUUGGGUUAUAUGUGGUCACUGAACACGGUGUAUCCGUACUAUCUUUGUAACUGUCCAUGGUGGCCUUGCCUGGCACAUUUGGAUCGCAAGAAUAUCCAGAGAAGAAUGUGUCAAUCAGAAGGGUCGAUUAACUUAUCCAGGAAACAAGAGAGUCACUGGGGAGAAGAUUAACAUUGCUCGUUCAGUCGUUGCUCUGGGGAGCAGGAUUUGCAGGUCUAUGCAAUGUUACGUCACACUAAGUUACUCUGGUGCUGUUUAGAAUCUGAAUCAUACUCUACCUCCUUUACAUUGAUUGCAUGCUCACCUGCUAAUUGUAAUUUGACCUCCAUGACUUGAGCUGAGCAGGCGGGUUGAGUGGCUGGUUCCCUGUGACUGUUCUCUCUCACUAAAUGCCUUAAGUUUGCCUUCUGGUACCAAUGUUGUUGCUGUCUUGCUGAAGGAUGGAACAACUCUCUUUUUUCUGACGUAUCAGAUUUCCUGGUGGUGGCAGCAUUCAGUUCCUUGCUGGCUAUUGGAAGAGACCACCCUCACUUGCUUGUUGUGUGGCCCUCUCUAUAUGGCAGCUCACAACAUGGCAGCUUGCUUCUUUGAAGCUGGCAAGGGACAGAGUCUCCUAGCAAGAUGGAGAUUACAGUCUUAAGUAAUGUAAUCACAUACAUGUAAUCACAUGCAUCUAUUAUCGUUACCAUAUUCUAUUGGUUAGAAGCAAGUCACAGGUCCUGCCCACACUCAAGGGGAGAGGAUUAUACAAGGGUGUGAAUACCAGGGAAAAGGGAUCAUGGGACCAUCUUAGUGUCUGUGUGCCCAAACUGAGUAUGUAUCUGCUCAACUAGAGUCUACAUUUCCUAGUCUUCCUUGUAGCUAGGGGUGGCUCUGAGUUUUGGCCAAUGGGAAGAGAGCAGAAGUAAUGGGUGGGAAUUUUGGAAUCUAUUUUAAUAAGGAAGUUUCUUACCAUCCACUCUGCUCUCUUUCCCCGUUCCUGCAAGUGACAAUGUGAAUAUGGUGUUAGCAGUGUUGAUGCUGCAGAUGAAGAUAACCCUGGGAGGUGAUAGAGGAAUAGCAUGAAAAGACUGUCCUGGAUGACCAUGUAGAGUGGAGCCACUUUACCAGCGCUGAAAUGCUCACUUCUGUUAUAAGCGAGUGAAAUAAUCUUGUUUCUCAAACUGUAUUUUGGAGCCUCUUUGUUAUAGGAGCUUAACUUAUACCUAACUCAUAGCAGUUUAUUCUGUAGCUAGACUGUCUCAACAUGGUGGGCAGCCUCGUGGGAUCUGCUCAUGGACCAACCUGAACUGGAGGAUAAAGUGUACAAAGAACAACAUACAUUCACGACAAUAGAUUUCACAAACUUUCAUAUAAAAGAAGAAAGACAUCACCUUAAAAACAAACUUUUAUAUAAAAGACAGACGUUACCUGAAAAGCGUGCUUAUAGAAAAAACAAUCUAGUUUUUUAGUAUUAACUUAAUCCUCUUGGCAUUUUUAAGGAUUAAAAAAAUAAUGACUUGAAUAAGUAACUGUUCUAGUUAUCUAUUGCUGUGUAACAAACUGUUCUAAGACUUAGUGGCCUAAAACAACAGGGAUAAUAUUAUUUUUUUCUCUCAUGAUUCUGGGAGUUAAUUAGGCUCAGCUAGGUGGUUCCUUCUUGGGACCUCCAUUGAGUGGUGGUCAGAUAGUGGCUGGGGCCGGAUCAUCUCAAGGCUCACUCCAUUACACGUCUGGAGGUUGAUGCUGGCUCUUGGCUGCAACCUCAGCUGGGGCUAUUGACCAUAACCCCUUCCUGUGGUUCUCAAUGAGGUCUUUCCACUUCCUCAUGACAUGGUGACUGGUUCCAAGAGGAAAUGUGCUGUGGGCCCAGGUGGAAACUGUAUUGCCUUUUAUGACCUAUCCUCUGAAGUCACAUCACUGCUGCCAUAAUCAUAGACCUGCCCAGAUUCCAGGAGGAGAGGGCAUAUACCCUCUCAGUGGGAGGAGUGACCUCUCAAGGUCAUAUUGCAAGAAGAGCGUCUGGAAUGGGAGGUCUUGUGGUCAUGUUGGAGAGUACUAUCAGUCACAGUCCACCCUUUGGUCAUAACAAUUUAAAUUCCUCCCAUGUACAAAAUGCAAUUAUUCUGUCCCCUUCCACCGAGUCUCAUUCUAUUAAGGCAUUUGCUCAAAAACCUAGGUCUUGUCAUUGAAAUCAGGCCCAGGUGCAGGCGAGGCUUCUUGAAUGUGGUUCUUUG
This 3260-nucleotide long non-coding RNA is filed under the name Equus caballus (horse). Its description in RNAcentral is "lncRNA (ENSECAG00000052499.1)". The record is from RNAcentral. Lineage: Eukaryota; Metazoa; Chordata; Mammalia; Perissodactyla; Equidae.